GUAAAGCACUUUCAGUAGGGAGGAAGGUAGUGUAGUUAACACCUGCAUUAUUUGACGUUACCUACAGAAGAAGCACCGGCUAACUCCGUGCCAGCAGCCGCGGUAAUACGGAGGGUGCGAGCGUUAAUCGGAAUUACUGGGCGUAAAGCGCAUGCAGGCGGCCUGUUAAGUCAGAUGUGAAAGCCCGGGGCGUUAACCUCGGAAUUGCAUUUAGAAACUGGCAGGCUAGAGUCUUGUAGAGGGGGGUAGGAAUUUCAGGUGUAGCGGUGAAAUGCGUAGAGAUCUGAAGGAAUACCAGUGGCGAAGGCGGCCCCCUGGACAAAGACUGACGCUCAGAUGCGAAAGCGUGGGGAGCAAACAGGAUUAGAUACCCUGGUAG
Molecule: ribosomal RNA, 379 nt
Filed under: uncultured bacterium
Lineage: Bacteria
Description: bacterial SSU rRNA
Rfam family: Bacterial small subunit ribosomal RNA
Source: RNAcentral